This 546-nucleotide ribosomal RNA is filed under the name Yarrowia lipolytica. RNAcentral describes it as "eukaryotic LSU rRNA". It matches the Rfam family "Eukaryotic large subunit ribosomal RNA", at positions 37 to 664 of the family's 3401-position model. Lineage: Eukaryota; Fungi; Ascomycota; Dipodascomycetes; Dipodascales. The record is from RNAcentral.
UGCAUAUCAAUAAGCGGAGGAAAAGAAACCAACAGGGAUUGCCUCAGUAACGGCGAGUGAAGCGGCAAAAGCUCAAAUUUGAAACCCUCGGGAUUGUAAUUUGAAGAUUUGGCAUUGGAGAAAGCUAACCCAAGUUGCUUGGAAUAGUACGUCAUAGAGGGUGACAACCCCGUCUGGCUAACCGUUCUCCAUGUAUUGCCUUAUCAAAGAGUCGAGUUGUUUGGGAAUGCAGCUCAAAGUGGGUGGUAAACUCCAUCUAAAGCUAAAUACUGGUGAGAGACCGAUAGCGAACAAGUACUGUGAAGGAAAGGUGAAAAGAACUUUGAAAAGAGAGUGAAAUAGUAUGUGAAAUUGUUGAUAGGGAAGGAAAUGAGUGGAGAGUGGCCGAGGUUUCAGCCGCCCCUCGUGGGCGGUGUACUGCCGACGCCGAGUCAUCGAUAGCGAGACGAGGGUUACAAAUGGGAGCGCCUUCGGGCGUUCUCCCCUAACCCUCCACACUGCCACCGACGACAUAAUCCACCCAUUUCACCCGUCUUGAAACCACGG